RNAcentral lists this ribosomal RNA (1308 nucleotides) under Salmonella enterica subsp. enterica serovar London. Its description in RNAcentral is "partial 23S ribosomal RNA". It matches the Rfam family "Bacterial large subunit ribosomal RNA", at positions 1652 to 2925 of the family's 2925-position model. Lineage: Bacteria; Pseudomonadati; Pseudomonadota; Gammaproteobacteria; Enterobacterales; Enterobacteriaceae. The record is from RNAcentral.
AACCGACACAGGUGGUCAGGUAGAGAAUACCAAGGCGCUUGAGAGAACUCGGGUGAAGGAACUAGGCAAAAUGGUGCCGUAACUUCGGGAGAAGGCACGCUGACACGUAGGUGAAGUGAUUUACUCAUGGAGCUGAAGUCAGUCGAAGAUACCAGCUGGCUGCAACUGUUUAUUAAAAACACAGCACUGUGCAAACACGAAAGUGGACGUAUACGGUGUGACGCCUGCCCGGUGCCGGAAGGUUAAUUGAUGGGGUCAGCGCAAGCGAAGCUCCUGAUCGAAGCCCCGGUAAACGGCGGCCGUAACUAUAACGGUCCUAAGGUAGCGAAAUUCCUUGUCGGGUAAGUUCCGACCUGCACGAAUGGCGUAAUGAUGGCCAGGCUGUCUCCACCCGAGACUCAGUGAAAUUGAACUCGCUGUGAAGAUGCAGUGUACCCGCGGCAAGACGGAAAGACCCCGUGAACCUUUACUAUAGCUUGACACUGAACAUUGAGCCUUGAUGUGUAGGAUAGGUGGGAGGCUUUGAAGCGUGGACGCCAGUCUGCGUGGAGCCGACCUUGAAAUACCACCCUUUAAUGUUUGAUGUUCUAACGUGGACCCGUGAUCCGGGUUGCGGACAGUGUCUGGUGGGUAGUUUGACUGGGGCGGUCUCCUCCUAAAGAGUAACGGAGGAGCACGAAGGUUGGCUAAUCCUGGUCGGACAUCAGGAGGUUAGUGCAAUGGCAUAAGCCAGCUUGACUGCGAGCGUGACGGCGCGAGCAGGUGCGAAAGCAGGUCAUAGUGAUCCGGUGGUUCUGAAUGGAAGGGCCAUCGCUCAACGGAUAAAAGGUACUCCGGGGAUAACAGGCUGAUACCGCCCAAGAGUUCAUAUCGACGGCGGUGUUUGGCACCUCGAUGUCGGCUCAUCACAUCCUGGGGCUGAAGUAGGUCCCAAGGGUAUGGCUGUUCGCCAUUUAAAGUGGUACGCGAGCUGGGUUUAGAACGUCGUGAGACAGUUCGGUCCCUAUCUGCCGUGGGCGCUGGAGAACUGAGGGGGGCUGCUCCUAGUACGAGAGGACCGGAGUGGACGCAUCACUGGUGUUCGGGUUGUCAUGCCAAUGGCACUGCCCGGUAGCUAAAUGCGGAAGAGAUAAGUGCUGAAAGCAUCUAAGCACGAAACUUGCCCCGAGAUGAGUUCUCCCUGAGACUUAGAGUCUCCUGAAGGAACGUUGAAGACGACGACGUUGAUAGGCCGGGUGUGUAAGCGCAGCGAUGCGUUGAGCUAACCGGUACUAAUGAACCGUGAGGCUUAACCUUACAACGCCGAAG